RNAcentral lists this ribosomal RNA (465 nucleotides) under uncultured bacterium. RNAcentral describes it as "partial 16S ribosomal RNA". It matches the Rfam family "Bacterial small subunit ribosomal RNA", at positions 338 to 795 of the family's 1533-position model. The record is from RNAcentral.
CCUACGGGAGUCAGCAGUGGGGAAUAUUGCGCAAUGGGCGAAAGCCUGACGCAGCGACGCCGCGUGAGUGAUGAAGGUCUUCGGAUCGUAAACCUCUGUCAGCAGGGAAGAACGGUCACUGUGCUAAUCAGCAGUGAAUUGACGGUACCUGCAAAGGAAGCACCGGCUAACUCCGUGCCAGGAGCCGCGGUAAUACGGAGGGUGCGAGCGUUAAUCGGAAUUUCUGGGGGUAAAGCGCUCGUAUGCGGUAUGUCAAGUCAAGUGUGAAAUCCCCGAGCUCAACGUGGGAAUUGCCUUUGAAACUGGCAAACUUGAGUGGGUGAGAGGUGAGUGGAAGUCCAGGUGUAGGAGUGAAAUCCGUAGAGAUCUGGAGGAACAUCAGUGGCGAAGGCGACUAUCUGGCACAUAACUGACGCUGAGGAGCGAAAGCGUGGGUAGCAAACAGGAUUAGAUACCCUUGUAGUC